RNAcentral lists this ribosomal RNA (480 nucleotides) under uncultured bacterium. RNAcentral describes it as "partial 16S ribosomal RNA". It matches the Rfam family "Bacterial small subunit ribosomal RNA", at positions 28 to 507 of the family's 1533-position model. The record is from RNAcentral.
GAUGAACGCUAGCGGCAGGCCUAACACAUGCAAGUCGAGGGAGAGGUUACCUUCGGGUAACCAAAACCGGCGCACGGGUGCGUAACGCGUAUACAAUCUGCCUUUCACAUAGGGAUAGCCAGCAGAAAUUAGGAUUAAUACCUAAUGGUAUAUAAGAGCGGCAUCGUUUUUAUAUUAAAGCUACGGUGGUGAAAGAUGAGUAUGCGUUCUAUUAGCUAGUUGGAGAGGUAACGGCUCCCCAAGGCGACGAUAGAUAGGGGUUCUGAGAGGGAUGUCCCCCACACUGGUACUGGGAUACGGGCCAGUCUCCUACGGGACGCAGCAGUGCGGGAUAUUGCGCAAUGGUCGGAAGACUGAUCCAGCCAUGCCGCGUGCAGGAUGAAGGUCCUAUGGAUUGUAAACUGCUGUUGUAAGGGAAGAAUAAGGAGUACGUGUACUUGGAUGACGGUACCUUACGAAUAAGCAUCGGCUAACUCCGUG